Molecule: ribosomal RNA, 253 nt
Filed under: uncultured bacterium
Lineage: Bacteria
Description: partial 16S ribosomal RNA
Rfam family: Bacterial small subunit ribosomal RNA
Source: RNAcentral
UACGAAGGGGGCGAGCGUUGCUCGGAAUUACUGGGCGUAAAGGGCGCGCAGGCGGCGAGUUUUGUCAGACGUGAAAGCCCCGGGCUCAACCUGGGAACUGCGCUUGAAACGGGCUUGCUGGAGACCGGGAGAGGAGAGUGGAAUUCCCAGUGUAGAGGUGAAAUUCGUAGAUAUUGGGAAGAACACCGGUGGCGAAGGCGGCUCUCUGGACCGGAUCUGACGCUGAGGCGCGAAAGCGUGGGGAGCAAACAGG